CUGCUUGCUCACUCCCAGUCACGGGGCAGGGAGCAGGGAGCCAUUACAAUGUGGUGUCCAUGAGGCCAAGGCCACAGGUUAGCUCUUGUUGGGUCUGACAGGUUUACUUCUUAAAAGCCAGUCCCUAGCACAGCACCUGACGCAUGGUAACCUUUAAACUACUUCUUGAAAGAAAGUCACGGGCGAGGCUGGCUAUUUGUCUUUUCUUAUGGUUUCGAGUCUCAUCGAGGUCACUCAGUAAGACUUAAGAUGUACGUAUGGUCAGUGCAGUUAAUCAUCACUCCAGAAGGAAAGGAAAGGAAGGAAAAAUUCUCACACCCUGUGACAUGUUGAUUGCCGCCCCUCGCCCCCCCCCCCCCCCCGUGUGUGUGUGUGUGUGUGUCAGAGAGAGAGAUCGUGUCUUCAUGUACUCCCAGUAUUAUAUUAAAUAAUAAAAUUCUUUGUUUUUUCUCAGGAAAUAGGGUGGAUGUAAAUCUUUUAUUAAAAUAAUUUUUACUAAUAUUUUAUUAGUAUAUAAUCGUGUUUCUAUGGAACAUUCAAAGUGGGUUGCCGUUGUUUUACUAAUUUUUGCUGUUUUUUAUUUUAACUUAAUUUUAGAGAGAAAAUUUUCAAAAAUAAGGUUUUUUUUUUUUUUUUAUCACGUAAAUGGUUAAAUACUGAUAAAAGAGUGCUUGAGCAUGUGUUUGAGGAGGCUUAGUGGAGAAAAUGUUUAGAAUAAAGUAUUAUGAAAGUUUUAUCUAAGCCUGCUAGUCUUCUGAUUUUGGCUAAGAUAUAUUUUCGUUAUUAAAAAUUAUUCAUUCUCCUUACAGAAGAUUUGGAAGAUAUUCUGUAAAAAAGAGUUUGAAAACUCUUAAGCAAAAAGAAAAUGACUUCCUUUACCUGCCAGAGCAUAUUUUGUCGUUUUUAAAAGAACUUAAUUGAGCUCCCACCCUAGAUAAAAUUUUACAUUUCAGUUUUCCCCAUGACUGAUUGUCUUGCCAGGUUUUACGUUUGUACAGUGGCAGGGGAAGCACGGAGAGUUUAACAUUUAAAAUGAUAAUAUGGCGAGAUUGUUAACCCAGUAAGGUAUGGUGAUAGGCUGCUAGGUUGUCGACCGGUUAUCUAUUGAUCAUUAGAGGAUAAAGUUAUAUAACCAGUAGAAAUAGAAUUUUAUAAGCGAUGGUGGGUUUAUUCUAAUCUUAGGUACUUAUUAUCACAAGCGGAGGUAAGACCGUUGGGAUUUGAAACUUCUAAUGUGCUUUAAAAGUAUAGUUGGAAAUACCGUAAUGAAGUGUGUGGCAUGUGUAUAAAGACUCUCUUUUGUAUCAUGUAGUUUUGCUUACCUUCCUCCUCUGGCUAAUUUUUUAUACUGGGUCUCAGAGCAGGUUAAUGAUUUACCCUACCAUGACCCAUGUGGUCGGUUUCAGCCAGACUUGAUCACGGCAUGGCUUGUUGUCUUACUUGAUUCCAGGCCUUUGACGGGGCGCCCAGAGAUGCAGUGCACCUCGAUUUUGUUACUUGCACGUUUCCUUCUUCCUGGCUUUGAAGUCCUGUUUCUUCUAGCUCUCCUGAAACCUGUACAGUCUCAGGAAAGAUUCUUUAAGAUUAUUAUUUGUUUACUUAGCAGCAUUAAUUCCUUUCCAGAAACCUUCAUUUUUCAGCUUUAGGUAGUCUAAUCUACAGUCUAAAUCAGAUUUUCUUUUAGUAGCUUAAUUCCAGAAAUUUAAUCUAGUAUUUUGUUGUGUAUCCUAAAGUAUGGUAUAUUAAAACAGUUGGACCAGAAGGUGAAUUCUAGUCCACUUUUUUUUUUUUUUUUUUUUUUUUUUUUUUGAGAGAGAGACAGAACGUGAGCGGGGGAGGGGCAGAGAGAGAGGGAGACCCAGGAUCCGAGGCAGGUUCCAGGCUCCGAGCUGUCCGAGCAGGGCUCAGACUCAGGAACUGCGAGAUCACAACCUGAGCCAAAGUCGGGCGCCCCUCUCGUCCACAUUUUGACAUUUAGAUCUGUAUAUAUGGGAAAGUCUCUCUCAAAAGUUCCAGUUGAGUUUUCUCAUUUGUAAAAUAAGGGGAUUGGACUAGACACUUUAAUAAAUAUUUCUCAUGUUUCCUUUUUGAUCUAAAACUCAAUACUCUGAUCUUUGCGAGUUUAUAAAUUAUUGAUACUAUCAUUUUGGAAGCUUUAAUCAUAUUUUAUGUACUAAUUUUUUCUUUUUACUUUUUGACUACCUUCCUCCCCCCACACCUUCCACUGCAACCACCAGUCUGUUCUCUUUAUGUCUGUGAGGCGUAUGAGGUGGGGGGUUUUUUGUUUUUGUUUUUGUUUUUAAGAUUCCACAUAUGAGAGUUCACAUGGCAUUUGUCUUUCUUUGUGUGACUUACUUAACAUAAUGCCCUCGGGUCAAUCCAUGGUGUAACAUGUGGCAAGAUUUCAUUCUUUUUUAUGGCCGAGUAAUAUUCCAUUGUAUGCAUAUACCGCAAUUUCUUUUAUUCAUGCAUCCAUCAGUGGAUACUUAGGUUGCUUCUAUGUCUUGGCUCUUGUAAAUAGGGCUGCCUGUAUCUUUUUGAGUCAGUGCUUUCCUUUUCUUCAGAUAAAUACCCAGAAGUGGAAUUGCAGGACCAUGGGGUAGUUCUGGUUUUAAUUUUUUUGACGAACUUCCAUUCUGCUUGCCAUAGUGGUCGUACCAGUUUAUGUUCCCAUCGGCAGUGCACAAAGGCUUCCUUUUCUUCAUGUUCUCACCAACACUUACUUCUUGUGUUUUCGAUACAUUCUAACAGGUAUGAGGUUUUGACAGGUAUGAGGUUUUGAUUUGCGUGUCUUUGAGGAUUAACGGUGAGCAUCUUUUCAUAGACCUGUUGGCCAUCUAUAUGUCUUUUGAAAAAGGUCUUUUCAGAUCUUCUGCCCAUUUUAAAAAUCAGAUUUUUUUUUUUUUGCUAUUGACUCUAUGAAUGAGUUCUUUCUAUAUGUAUAUCUUAGAUAUUAGUCCCUUAUCAGAUACAUGAUUUGCAAAUACUUCUCCCAUUUAGUAGGUUGCUUCUAAUCCUGUUUUAGAUAAUAUAAGGAGCGUGGAAUUAGAUACAGUUAAAUAUGAGUUAUGCCUAGGUUCCCAGUUUUGUUCAUGGAAAGUUACAGUGCAAAGUAAAUGCACGUUUCUUCCUUGAAAAGCAUGUAGUAGAAGUUAGUGAUAUUGCCAUUUUAUUCAUUAGCAGGCUAUUUUAUGUAACUAUUUACUCAGGUUUGAAAUUUUCUUCUUUUCUGAUACCGUUCAAAAGAAUUUUGAAUUAUUGCCCUUGAUGGAGGUUCCACAUUUGUUUACUUAGUUGUGUGACCUUGGACAAGUUACUUCUGCAUACGAUGGUUUCCUUAUCUGUGUAAUAGGGAUAAAAUGAGCCUGGGCGGCUCAGUAGUUUGAGCGUCCGACUCUUGACCUGGUCCGGCUCUUGACCUUGGCCCACGUCAUGAUCCCAGGGUCAUGGGAUGGAGCCCCACCUUGGGCUCCAUGCUGAGUGUGAAGCCUGAUUGGGACUCUCUCUUCCUCUGUUCCUCUCCUGCUCUCCCUUGCUCGCUCGCUCUCAAAUUUAAAAAAAAAAAAAAAGAAGACAAAAUUCUAUCUGGCUCAUGGUAAUCACUUAUGUAAUGGCGGUGGAGGUUCUUGUUAUUCUACCCUUCUAAAGUGAUUUGCUCCCCUGGGCAUGGAAAGGAUCCUGGGGGCACUACUGAUUAAUGUUCGUGGCCUCAACAAAUGUUAGUAAGCAGAACUGAAAUUUCUUUUAUGCAGUGCAGUUCCUGAAUUUCAUUUUCAUCACAAGAAACAGCUUAGUGGUAGUAUAUUACACUGUGAAAGCACAGAUUUAUGUUGAGGUGGAUCAGAGUCUGAUGUUACAAACCAAGAAUGUAGAUUGUCGUUCUGUUUUGAAUAGUUUGUAGAAAGAUUUUAUUCCUUUUGUCUGGGAAUAAAAACGGUCUAAUUUGUGACAUUCUCAACCGUGUUUUAGAAGUUUAGGUAAGUUGGGAAUACCACCUUUCGAUGAGAAAUCUUACCUUAUUCUUUAUAGUAGAGAGAAAAAGCACACCAACUCUUUGCCCCUGUGAGAACGGGCUGUGUGCAUUAAAGUCAGCUUCAGGCCUUACUUCCUUUCAUAUCUUCCUAUUGUUCAUGCCUCUGUCCUCUCCUGGAACAACGUCUCUUGCUGGCCUGCAGUGUAGUUACCCAGCCUACUUUCGUAUCUUAUCUAAAACUUCUCUCCCUGCCUCACGGCUGGAACAGGAUUAUUUAAUAUCUGUAAAGUACUUUAAGGAUUGUAAGAGAAAGGUAAAUGCUAGACCUUGUGAAGAGUUUCGUGUGGGUUGCUGGACUGAAAACUUGAAACCGGACACACGGCGUUGUUGAAAAUCCCUAAAACUAAAGUUUGAUCAUUUAAAGCCCCACGCUUAGGCUUUGUGUUAAAGAGGGAGGUGAGGGGAGACCAUUUAAGUAUACUUUGCUUUGGAAAAAGCGAAGUUAUUAAGUCUUUGCUUUCGCAGACGCGCUCCAUCCAGAAGAACGUUGUGAUAAUGUCAAGUACAAGAUAUUUAACAGAGAACCUGAUUGCAGCUCUUCAUGAUUUCAUGAUCCUAGAUGUUCUCUGGCUGAGGCUUUUCUGUCGCUUCUCUGUGAGAAAGACCAUUAGCUGUUUUUUAAAAAAUGGUGUAGUGGCUACAGAGUGUAGACGUUUGCCGGUAAUCCCGUUUGUAGUAAUCCACAUGUCUAAGGCUGCGUGCCAGUAAAAAUUUAUGUCCAACUUAAACCGAGAAGUGAUGUUUAUUUCAGUGAUGGCUCACAGAUGUUCUUCUCGAAAUGCUUUAGGUGUGGGAACCAUCCAUGCAUUUCAUGCUUGUGAAUGCUGGUUUAAAUCACAGCAUCUUUUAGCCGAGUUAGAGUACUGUUGCCUUUGAUUUUAUUUCGGUGUUUUAGUGACCCAAUAAGUCUCCUGCCUGAUAGUAAGUGUUCUCCUUGGGAGGAUGGGGACUAUUCGGGGGAAUAAUGGGCACUAUUAUUAAGCUGGUAGUGACGUGCUUUUUUUGUUUGUUCUUUGGGUUUUUUGGGGGUGUGUGUAGAGAGUGCCUUUUCUUCAGUAAGUACUUUCAGGAAGUCUGAAUGGAGAACUACACGAUUAUCAGGGUGUGUGUGGGUACUGAGAAUACAGAGGUGACCGUGAUAAGCCCUGGCCUCACAGAGCUUCCCCUGGAGUGUGUCCUGACUGGUUUAUAGAUGUGCUGAGAAAGUAAUCCUCAUGGCCACUGGGCAGCCAGGAGCCAUCUGGAUUGACCAGAGAUCCUUGACCAGUCACAUCCCAGUGAGAACAGCCUUAUCUGUAUAUUUUUGUGGGCUCUACGGUUACUAUUGUCCGUGUAUACGACGAUGAGAAAAAGGUUGGGAAGGAGGGUAGACACAAAAGACGAGUGUAAGGAGAUGGUUUUUGCAUAAGUAAUGAUACAUACACGCGAAAGAGAAAGUGGUCCACUCUGGGAGAGAGAAGAGGAAUGCAGGGGAAAAGCUUCACAGAAGAGAUUUGAAUUUUGUGAAAUGAAGUCAUGUAUUGCAUGGGCAAGAAAGGGGGAUUCCAGAUGCAAGGAAAGGUAUGCAGUCAUGGGACGGAUGGUGUGCUGCUUUUAGAAUCUGUAGCUGGUUUGCACGGAAGGAAUCCUUGGAGGCUGGAGAGGAGGAAGGGGCAGACCACGAAAUACCAAGAGAGUUUACCAACAACUAUUGACUCUCUUUAGAUAUCGUUAAAAUGUGUAUUUAGCCUGAGAAAAUGUAAGUUCAGAGGAAAGUUGUAGGGAUCAUGAAACAAUGGAAUUGAUAAAAAUGUGUCAGUAUAUUUAAUUACAUUGAUUAUUAAAAGUUCCUUUUUUUUUUUUUUUUUAAAGAUGACAGUAACAAGAUGGGGUAGAAAAACUAUUCAGUGGGUAGUUAAAACCUGUUAAAGGUGUUGUUCCCCUCUCCCCCCCCCCCCCCCGCCCCCGCCCCGGGGCCCACAAGCCCCAGUAUUAGAAAAUUUAAAGUUACAUAUGCAUGUUAAAACUCAAGGAUAGAUAAAUACGAGUCCACACAAGAAACAAAUUUUCUUGCUUCCAAACCAGCAGAAAUGUAAACCAGCACUCAAACUCUGAGGGCAGGAAGAUGGGAAAAACAAGAAGGGGGGGAAAAAAGUGAUAAACAGAAGACAAAAAUGAAGUGGAAUAAGCCCUACUGCAUUAAUUACAUUAAAUCGAAAUAGAUUAAAUUUUUCUGUAUUAUGGUGAAGGGACUAUGAAAUUGGAUAAAAGCCAAAAUAUUGCUAAACAAGAAACCUGCCUAAAACAAAAAGACGACAUAUCUAACAAUGCAACACUGCUGCCAUACCUAAGAAAACCAAAUCUAUGUAUAGACUGGUCUUUGAGAUAUUUCAGGAUCAUUUCAAAGUUAUUUAGGGCUUUUUUGUUGUUGUUGUUAGCUUCGUACUUUCUCUGGCUGUCGUCUUGAAGAUCCACUUAGGGUUAGGAAGGCUCAGGUAAUAGUAACCCCGUUUUCACAGGUUGGAGACUAGGCUUCAGGUCGCCACCACAGCAACUAGGGAUGGGGUCCAGAGUUCUCGACUUCCAAGUCUGUGAUGAUGGCCACAAGCCAAUAUGUUGAAGCUAUCAUGGUUGGGACAAAAUUGUUUCUCCUUCUUUUUUAAACAAGAAUUUGGGAAUUUUUGUCUCUAACGUCUAAGCUGUGUGUGUGUGUGUGUGUGUGUGUGUGUGUGUGUGUAGGUUUGAGUCCCACUUCAUUAAUUAUUGGUACUUGGAUUUCAGCUGUGAAAUGGAAUAGUAAUUCCCAUUAGACCCCAUGAAUGGAUGCAUGUGAAAUGAGAUGAUUCAUGUGGAAGGCCUUUGUGCUAUAAAUAGAAACUAAAAUCAUUAUAUAACCAUUAUUGAUAGGACUUCUUGUCCUCAUAAGGAGAGGAUGCGAGUGCCAUGAACUGUGGGAGUUAAGACGGGGCUCAACAAGUUCGCUUUGACAGUGGUCACGUCAAAGUUUGAAAGUGAGUAUUUUACGGAUCCUGGUCUUAGGAUGCGCAAGUGAUUGAUGAAGCAAAGUGUUAGGUUAUUUAUUUGUUUUUUAAUCUAAUGGCUCGUAAAUUUAUGGUUAAUAGGGAGUUUUGUUUUUUCUUUGAUAAGGUAUUUGUGGGUUUGGCUCUCUUACUAACAUACAAUUGUUUACUGAAUUGUGCUGUGAGGGAGCAGUUAACUUUUUUUUUUUAUGUUUAUUUAUUUUUGGGAGGGAGAGCAAGUGGGGGUGGGGCAGAGCAAAAGGGGAUCCGAAGCCGGCUCCACCCUGACAGUAGCGAACCUGAUGCCGAGCUUGAACUCACGAACUGUGAGAUCAUGACCUUAGCUGAAGUCGGACGCUCAACCUACUGAGCCACCCAGGCAUCCUGAGAGCAGUUAACUUCUGAUGUCAGCAGAUUUCCUGUAAUUCCCAUCUAGUGGCAUUUUUUUAAAGGUCUAAAAUCAUGGAAAGUAAAUUUUGUUAAUUUCUACAGUAUUGGUCUGUGUGGGUCUUUCAGGGAUCCUUGACGAGAGAACUUUGUAAUUCUUUCAAAUUACGAUCACACCAGGAGCCCAUCUGGGCACAUAUCAAGUAAGCAGUGCAGGAGGUUCUAGGGGCAAAAGGAGAGAAUAAAAUAAAAGCCUUCUGUUCUUUGGAAUGGAAAAUAUGUUUGUAAUACGAGAUUCUGUAGACAAAAACAGUUAUUCUGAUUUGUAUGUGAUUAUCUCAGUUCAAAAGAUUAGGCAUAACUUUGAAGAAGCUACUGUCUUUUUUUCUAGAAUAUUGUUCCACAACAAUGUUUGUUUUUGUUUUGUUUUUUUGCCGAUGUUGGAAAGAUUCCCUGGUAUUUAAUUUGCUCUAUGAAGAUACAUGCAGGAUGAUUACGG
Long non-coding RNA from Leopardus geoffroyi (Geoffroy's cat), 7918 nucleotides. RefSeq lists it as uncharacterized. Lineage: Eukaryota; Metazoa; Chordata; Mammalia; Carnivora; Felidae. The transcript is spliced from 2 exons. The record is from RefSeq and is a predicted model, not a curated record.